UUGUUCGGAAUCACUGGGCGUAAAAGGGAGCGUAGGCGGCGUGGUAAGUCAGAUGUGAAAUCCCGGGGCUCAACCCCGGAACUGCAUCCGAUACUGCCGUGCUAGAGGAUUGGAGAGGUAGCUGGAAUUCUUGGUGUAGCAGUGAAAUGCGUGGAUAUCAAGAGGAACACUCGUGGCGAAAGCGAGCUACUGGACAACUCCUGACGCUGAGGCUCGAAGGCUAGGGUAGCGAAAGGGAUUAGAUACCCCUGUAGUCCUAGCAGUAAACGGUGCACGCUUGGUGUGAGGGGAAUCGACCCCCCUUGUGCCGGAGCUAACGCGUUAAGCGUGCCGCCUGGGAAGUACGGUCGCAAGACUAAAACUCAAAGAAAUUGACGGGGACCCGCACAAGCGGUGGAGUAUGUGGCUUAAUUCGAUGCAACGCGAAGAACCUUACCAAGGCUUGACAUGCAUCUCUAAACACGUGAAAGCGUGUGACCCUUCGGGGAAUUUGCACAGGUGCUGCAUGGCCGUCGUCAGCUCGUGUCGUGAGAUGUUGGGUUAAGUCCCGCAACGAGCGCAACCCUUGUGAUUAGUUGCCAGCACGUUAAGGUGGGAACUCUAGUCAGACUGCCCAGAUCAACUGGGAGGAAGGUGGGGACGACGUCAGGUCAGUAUGGCCCUUACGCCUUGGGCUGCACACGUACUACAAUGCCCAGCACAAUGAGAACCGAUACCGCGAGGUGGAGGAAAUCUGUAAAACUGGGCUCAGUUCGGAUUGGAGGCUGCAACUCGCCUCCAUGAAGUUGGAAUCGCUAGUAAUGGGGCAUCAUCUACGGCCCCGUGAAUACGUUCCCGGGUCUUGUACACACCGCCCGUCACAUCAUGGAAGCCGGUCGCACCCGAAGUGCCCGUACCAACCGCAAGGGGGUAGGGUCCUAAGGUGUAGCUGGUAACUGGGAUGAAGUCGUAACAAGGUAGC
Molecule: ribosomal RNA, 961 nt
Filed under: uncultured bacterium
Lineage: Bacteria
Description: bacterial SSU rRNA
Rfam family: Bacterial small subunit ribosomal RNA
Source: RNAcentral